UUUAGUUCAGCCCUAAUCAUGAUCUUCUCACCAGCUAUUCUCCUGCUGGUGGCAACAGCAUCCUGUGGUGUUUACUGUGUUGAGCUCACUCAACCUUCAUCUAUGGUCGUGAAACCUCAAGAAUCAUUUUCCAUCUCCUGCAUGAUUUCAGAAUCAAGCUACUGCAUUAACUGGAUCCGUCAAUCUGCUGGAGGACUCUUGGAAUGGCUUGGAUAUCUCUGUAGUGGUGGAAGCACUAACAUUAAAGAUUCAGUGAAAAACAAGAUCAGUUUCACCCAGGACACAUCCAAAAACACAGUGUUUCUGCAGGGACGUAAUUUUCAGAUUGAAGACACAGCUGUGUAUUACUGUGCCAGAGAGACACAGUGA
Molecule: non-coding RNA, 369 nt
Organism: Danio aesculapii
Lineage: Eukaryota; Metazoa; Chordata; Actinopteri; Cypriniformes; Danionidae
Source: the annotation of a RefSeq genome assembly